Brassica napus (rape) is the source of this 472-nucleotide long non-coding RNA. RefSeq lists it as uncharacterized. The transcript is spliced from 2 exons. Lineage: Eukaryota; Viridiplantae; Streptophyta; Magnoliopsida; Brassicales; Brassicaceae. The record is from RefSeq and is a predicted model, not a curated record.
GUACGUUAUCUCUUUAAAAUUAUGGGUUAAGAUGAAUGUUUCAUUAGGCUUUGUCCAUCACACAUGUCUGAACCCAAGUUAAAUGAAAGAAAAAGACACAUAGAGCUUUUUACCAGGAGGCGACGGAGUAGCUGUAACCGGAAGCGAUGGAGAGGGAGUUGUCACCAAGGGUUCAUUGUAAAAAGGACAGUUUAAGCAACCUUCAGGUGAAAGAUCAGGAAUACACUGGACAAAUGCAUAAAGCGUCUGAGACAAAGUAAAUCUCGAUUUGUUAACCGCAAAUCUCUUUUCCUUGCUAUCAGCCGCUUCCACUGAAGACUUGUUCAUCAGAGAAAACAUUGCAUCCUUGAACCGGUCUGGUCGGUAAAUGUCUGGAACACUCUGAUUGUUCCAAGUGAUUAUUGUAGGGGUAGACCAUGUUCUUACACCAUCCAUGAAAAUAUUCCGGUCUGAGUAUCCAAGCAUGCACUCA